AGAUAGCUGCGGGAGCGAUAGAAACGGCAUCCUUUUUAUGGUUGGCGUGGUAAUUUGCCUGGUGUAUAACCAAAAGUUGUCUAGGGGAACGACGUUUUAAUUCUAAAUGAAACUAAUAAAAAGAUAUAGUGGAUAGCGCGGUUUUAA
This 147-nucleotide small RNA is filed under the name Algibacter pectinivorans. RNAcentral describes it as "Pontirhabdus pectinovorans Flavo-1 RNA". It matches the Rfam family "Flavo-1 RNA". Lineage: Bacteria; Pseudomonadati; Bacteroidota; Flavobacteriia; Flavobacteriales; Flavobacteriaceae. The record is from Rfam by way of RNAcentral.